This 715-nucleotide long non-coding RNA is filed under the name Pan troglodytes (chimpanzee). RNAcentral's name for it is "long non-coding RNA NONPTRT015511". The record is from RNAcentral. Lineage: Eukaryota; Metazoa; Chordata; Mammalia; Primates; Hominidae.
CCGCCUGCCAAUCAUCACCCUGUCUCUUAUUCUCAAAGACAACAUCUGUUUUGACUCAUGAUGGUUUAGUUCAUCUAUGCCUGCUAAAUUUCAUUUGAGACUAUUACGAAGAAUGCCGUUUGGAGUAUUCUUGUACGUGCCUCUUGGUGCACAUCUACAUACUCUUCUGUGGUAUAUAUCCAGGAGGGGUAUUGUUGGGAAGAAGGUAGGCAUAUGCUCUCCUUUAUAUAAUACAGCCAAAUGACUUUCCAAAGUAAUUGUAUCACUUACACACCCACCAGUGGAAUAUGAGAGUUCCAGUUGCUCCACAUCCUUGCCAAUAUUUGUAUUAUCAGUCUUUUAAAUUCUAGCUAUUCUGGUGGGUGUGUAGCGCUAUCUCAUUGUGGCUUUAAUUUGCAUUUCCCUGAUGACUCACACAGACUUUUUCGUGCUCUGCAAUUUUAAAGCAACUCUGCAUGUCUGUUUCAUUGCAAAUCGUUCCUCAGCUGUAUUGAGAUUUAAAAUCAACAACCAUUUAUUAAGUCCCUACCGUGAGUCAGUCUACAUACGUUAGAUGCCUCCAUGUGCCUGGCCUGAAGGUGGUGGUGAGAGAGUUUUUUUCUGGACUAAGUGGUUUCUGGUCAGUCCUGCUGGUUUCGCUCUAGGAUAUAUUAUCACUGACAUUGUGGAGAGAGCGCUUCCGGGAAAAGAAUGUCCCAGCAGGGCUGGGGGCAGC